RNAcentral lists this transfer RNA (73 nucleotides) under Leekyejoonella antrihumi. It matches the Rfam family "tRNA". From Rfam's summary of the family: Transfer RNA (tRNA) molecules are approximately 80 nucleotides in length. Their secondary structure includes four short double-helical elements and three loops (D, anti-codon, and T loops). Further hydrogen bonds mediate the characteristic L-shaped molecular structure. tRNAs have two regions of fundamental functional importance: the anti-codon, which is responsible for specific mRNA codon recognition, and the 3' end, to which the tRNAs corresponding amino acid is attached (by aminoacyl-tRNA synthetases). tRNAs cope with the degeneracy of the genetic code in two manners: having more than one tRNA (with a specific anti-codon) for a particular amino acid; and 'wobble' base-pairing, i.e. permitting non-standard base-pairing at the 3rd anti-codon position. Lineage: Bacteria; Bacillati; Actinomycetota; Actinomycetes; Micrococcales; Dermacoccaceae. The record is from Rfam by way of RNAcentral. RNAcentral also lists the same sequence under 6 other names.
GGGCCUGUAGCUCAGUUGGUAGAGCACCGCGUUUACACCGCGGUUGUCGUCGGUUCGAGCCCGGCCGGGCCCA